UACGGGGGGGGCAAGCGUUGUUCGGAAUUACUGGGCGUAAAGGGCUCGUAGGUGGCCAACUAAGUCAGACGUGAAAUCCCUCGGCUUAACCGGGGAACUGCGUCCGAUACUGGCAGGCUUGAAUCCGGGAGAGGGAUGCGGAAUUCCAGGUGUAGCGGUGAAAUGCGUAGAUAUCUGGAGGAACACCGGUGGCGAAGGCGGCAUCCUGGACCGGCAUUGACGCUGAGGCGCGAAAGCCAGGGGAGCAAACGGG
RNAcentral lists this ribosomal RNA (253 nucleotides) under uncultured bacterium. RNAcentral's name for it is "partial 16S ribosomal RNA". It matches the Rfam family "Bacterial small subunit ribosomal RNA", at positions 524 to 776 of the family's 1533-position model. The record is from RNAcentral.